Molecule: transfer RNA, 78 nt
Filed under: Desulfobacteraceae bacterium
Lineage: Bacteria; Pseudomonadati; Thermodesulfobacteriota; Desulfobacteria; Desulfobacterales; Desulfobacteraceae
Description: tRNA-Leu
Rfam family: tRNA
About the family: Transfer RNA (tRNA) molecules are approximately 80 nucleotides in length.
Source: RNAcentral
UGGUGGAAUUGGUAGACACGCACGCUUGAGGGGCGUGUGGGGCAACCCGUGGGAGUUCAAAUCUCCCCUUCGGCACCA